AUUGAACGCUGGCGGCAGGCCUAACACAUGCAAGUCGAACGAGUGGCGGACGGGUGAGUAAUGUCUGGGAAACUGCCCGAUGGAGGGGGAUAACUACUGGAAACGGUAGCUAAUACCGCAUACCAUCAGAUGUGCCCAUAUGGGAUUAGCUUGUUGGUGGGGUAACGGCUCACCAAGGCGACGCUCCCUAGCUGGUCUGAGAGGAUGACCAGCCACACUGGAACGGAGACACGGUCCAGACUCCUACGGGAGGCAGCAGUGGGGAAUAUUGCACAAUGGGCGCAAGCCUGAUGCAGCCAUGCAGCGUGUAUGAAGAAGGCCUUCGGGUUGUAAAGUACUUUCAGCGGGGAGGCGUUACCCGCAGAAGAAGCACCGGCUAACUCCGUGCCAGCAGCCGCGGUAAUAC
Molecule: ribosomal RNA, 406 nt
Filed under: uncultured bacterium
Lineage: Bacteria
Description: partial 16S ribosomal RNA
Rfam family: Bacterial small subunit ribosomal RNA
Source: RNAcentral